CCCUUAGAUGUUCUGGGCCGCACACGCGCUGCACUGAAGGAGGCAGCGUGUACUCCUGGAUCGAAAGAUUUGGGUAACCCGCGAAUCUCCUUCGUGCUAGGGAUUGAGGUUUGCAAUUAUCCUUCAUGAACGAGGAAUUCCCAGUAAGUGCAAGUCAUAAGCUUGCGCUGACUACGUCCCUGCCCUUUGUACACACCGCCCGUCGCUACUACCGAUUGAAUGAUUUAGUGAGGACUUCGGACUGGGACCGAUGCGGCUUUCGGGCUGCGUCGGUAUUCUGGAAAGAUGUCCAAACUGUAUCAUUUAGAGGAAGUAAAANUCGUAACA
This 327-nucleotide ribosomal RNA is filed under the name uncultured eukaryote. RNAcentral's name for it is "partial 18S ribosomal RNA". It matches the Rfam family "Eukaryotic small subunit ribosomal RNA", at positions 1470 to 1796 of the family's 1831-position model. The record is from RNAcentral.